UUCCGCAGUAGAUCCAUCCUCUCCAAGCUGCACUACUACCUGCCUCUCUUCGGCUCCUCCGAGGACCUCUUCCGGGUGCUCAAGCGCGGCGCCGGCCUUCUCUCGGCCGACCUCGAGCGGGUGGUCAAACCCAAUUCCGCGUUCCUUCGGGAGUGCGGGCUAAGUGAUUGCGACAUUGUCAAGUUGUGCAUCGCUCGGCCAUGGCUGCUCCCCUCCAGCAUGGAGCGCAUCCGGGCAAUGGCGGCACACGCUGAAGGUAUUGGUGUGCCUCGUGGCUGUAAGAUGUUCAGACACGCGUUGCAUGCUGUUGCGCGCCUCAGCAAGGAGAAGAUCGCCAACCAAGUGGAGCACUUGAAGAAGACAUUUAUGUGGUCAGAUGCUGAGGUCGGCGUUGUUGUCUCCAAGCAUCCAUCUGUGCUGAUAAGGUCUAACCAGAUGCUGCAGAGCAAGUCAGAGUUCCUCAUCUCUGAGGUCGGGCUGGAACCGACAUACAUUGCUCAUCGUCCGGCAUUGCUCACGUACAGCCUGGAAGUCCGACUCAGACCCCGGCACUACGUCGUAAAGUUUCUCAAGGAAAGCGGAUUGCUGGAUCGCGGCCGGGACUAUUAUAGAGCAGUCAUGAUCAGUGAGAAAGAAUUUGUGGAGAAGUUCAUAUGCCCUCACAAGGAAGCUGCACCACACCUUGCUGAAGACUAUGCAGCAGCUUGCAGAGGGGAAGUGCCUUCCAGUUUCAGAUUUACAUAA
This 744-nucleotide ribosomal RNA is filed under the name Triticum aestivum (bread wheat). RNAcentral's name for it is "partial small subunit ribosomal RNA". Lineage: Eukaryota; Viridiplantae; Streptophyta; Magnoliopsida; Poales; Poaceae. The record is from RNAcentral.